Mytilus californianus (California mussel) is the source of this 395-nucleotide long non-coding RNA. RefSeq lists it as uncharacterized. The record is from RefSeq and is a predicted model, not a curated record. NCBI's taxonomy places the organism in Eukaryota, Metazoa, Mollusca, Bivalvia, Mytilida, Mytilidae. The transcript is spliced from 3 exons.
GAUGAGAUCAAAAGAUAUAUAUCUUGAGGCACAUACUGACCCAUAGAAUAAAGAAAAUCAGGAAAGACAGUGAAAAACAGGAAAUAUUUGAAAGGCUUGAGUUAUUAUUUCAAAUUGGUCAGUGUUCAGCGGCAAGUAUUACAAUGUGAUUUGGAUGAGAUCAAAAGAUAUUUAUCUUGAGGCACAUACUGACCCAUAGAAUAAAGAAAAUCAGGAAAGACAGUGAAAAACAGGAAAUAUUUGAAAGGCUUGAGUUAUUAUUUCAAAUUGGUCAGUGUUCAGCGGCAAGUAUUACAAUGUGAUUUGGAUGACAUCAAAAGAUAUUUAUCUUGAGGCACAUACUGACCCAUAGAAUAAAGAGAAUCAGGAAAGACAGUGAAAAACAGGAAAUAUUU